RNAcentral lists this ribosomal RNA (399 nucleotides) under uncultured bacterium. Its description in RNAcentral is "bacterial SSU rRNA". It matches the Rfam family "Bacterial small subunit ribosomal RNA", at positions 131 to 525 of the family's 1533-position model. The record is from RNAcentral.
CAGUCGUGGGGGAUAACGCAGCGAAAGCUGUGCUAAUACCGCAUACGAUCUAUGGAUGAAAGCGGGGGAUCGCAAGACCUCGCGCGAUUGGAGCGGCCGAUAUCAGAUUAGCUAGUUGGUGGGGUAAAGGCCCACCAAGGCGACGAUCUGUAGCUGGUCUGAGAGGACGACCAGCCACACUGGAACUGAGACACGGUCCAGACUCCUACGGGAGGCAGCAGUGGGGAAUUUUGGACAAUGGGGGAAACCCUGAUCCAGCCAUUCCGCGUGAGUGAAGAAGGCCUUCGGGUUGUAAAGCUCUUUCAGCAGGAACGAAACGGUCGGCUUUAAUAAAGUCGGCUAAUGACGGUACCUGCAGAAGAAGCACCGGCUAACUACGUGCCAGCAGCCGCGGUAAUA